AUCCAGUUGAUGAGUUCAAAAUAGGACGAGACAUGAGUCCUGGAU
RNAcentral lists this non-coding RNA (45 nucleotides) under Schistosoma mattheei. The record is from RNAcentral. Lineage: Eukaryota; Metazoa; Platyhelminthes; Trematoda; Strigeidida; Schistosomatidae.